This 498-nucleotide ribosomal RNA is filed under the name uncultured bacterium. Its description in RNAcentral is "partial 16S ribosomal RNA". It matches the Rfam family "Bacterial small subunit ribosomal RNA", at positions 28 to 507 of the family's 1533-position model. The record is from RNAcentral.
GACGAACGCUGGCGGCGUGCCUAAUACAUGCAAGUCGAGCGGACGGAUGGGAGCUUGCUCCCAGACCGUCAGCGGCGGACGGGUGAGUAACACGUGGGCAACCUGCCUGUAAGACUGGGAUAACUCCGGGAAACCGGGGCUAAUACCGGAUAACUCUUUCCCUCACAUGAGGGAAAGCUGAAAGAUGGCAUCUCGCUAUCACUUACAGAUGGGCCCGCGGCGCAUUAGCUAGUUGGUGAGGUAACGGCUCACCAAGGCGACGAUGCGUAGCCGACCUGAGAGGGUGAUCGGCCACACUGGGACUGAGACACGGCCCAGACUCCUACGGGAGGCAGCAGUAGGGAAUCUUCCGCAAUGGACGAAAGUCUGACGGAGCAACGCCGCGUGAGUGAUGAAGGUUUUCGGAUCGUAAAACUCUGUUGUCAGGGAAGAACAAGUACCGGAGUAACUGCCGGUACCUUGACGGUACCUGACCAGAGAGCCACGGCUAACUACGUG